This 497-nucleotide ribosomal RNA is filed under the name uncultured bacterium. RNAcentral describes it as "partial 16S ribosomal RNA". It matches the Rfam family "Bacterial small subunit ribosomal RNA", at positions 28 to 507 of the family's 1533-position model. The record is from RNAcentral.
GAUGAACGCUGGCGGCGUGCCUAAUACAUGCAAGUCGAGCGAACAGAUGAGGAGCUUGCUCCUCUGACGUUAGCGGCGGACGGGUGAGUAACACGUGGAUAACCUACCUAUAUGACUGGGAUAACUUCGGGAAACCGGAGCUAAUACCGGAUAAUAUAUUGAACCGCAUGGUUCAAUAGUGAAAGACGGUUUUGCUGUCACUUAUAGAUGUAUCCGCGCCGCAUUAGCUAGUUGGUAAGGUAACGGCUUACCAAGGCAACGAUGCGUAGCCGACCUGAGAGGGUGAUCGGCCACACUGGAACUGAGACACGGUCCAGACUCCUACGGGAGGCAGCAGUAGGGAAUCUUCCGCAAUGGGCGAAAGCCUGACGGAGCAACGCCGCGUGAGUGAUGAAGGUCUUCGGAUCGUAAAACUCUGUUAUUAGGGAAGAACAAAUGUGUAAGUAACUAUGCACGUCUUGACGGUACCUAAUCAGAAAGCCACGGCUAACUACGUG